CCUUCGGGAACUCUGACACAGGUGCUGCAUGGCUGUCGUCAGCUCGUGUCGUGAGAGUGUUGGGUUAAGUCCCGUAACGAGCCGCAACCCUUGUCCUUAGUUACCAGCACGUUAUGGUGGGCACUCUAAGGAGACUGCCGGUGACAAACCGGAGGAAGGUGGGGAUGACGUCAAGUCAUCAUGGCCCUUACGGCCUGGGCUACACACGUGCUACAAUGGUCGGUACAAAGGGUUGCCAAGCCGCGAGGUGGAGCUAAUCCCAUAAAACCGAUCGUAGUCCGGAUCGCAGUCUGCAACUCGACUGCGUGAAGUCGGAAUCGCUAGUAAUCGUGAAUCAGAAUGUCACGGUGAAUACGUUCCCGGGCCUU
Molecule: ribosomal RNA, 368 nt
Filed under: uncultured Pseudomonas sp.
Lineage: Bacteria; Pseudomonadati; Pseudomonadota; Gammaproteobacteria; Pseudomonadales; Pseudomonadaceae
Description: bacterial SSU rRNA
Rfam family: Bacterial small subunit ribosomal RNA
Source: RNAcentral